AGUGUGGUACUUUAAAUUAAAAGAUUAGGUUUGCAACUUUAAAUUGAGGCUUAUAGCAGCCUCCUGCGCUA
This 71-nucleotide transfer RNA is filed under the name Meretrix meretrix (Asiatic hard clam). Its description in RNAcentral is "tRNA-Ala". RNAcentral also lists the same sequence under 1 other name. The record is from RNAcentral. Lineage: Eukaryota; Metazoa; Mollusca; Bivalvia; Venerida; Veneridae.